AUUGAACGCUGGCGGCAUGCCUUACACAUGCAAGUCGAACGGUAACAGGUUAAGCUGACGAGUGGCGAACGGGUGAGUCAUGUAUCGGAACGUGCCCAGUCGUGGGGGAUAACUGCUCGAAAGAGCAGCUAAUACCGCAUACGACCUGAGGGUGAAAGCGGGGGAUCGCAAGACCUCGCGCGAUUGGAGCGGCCGAUAUCAGAUUAGGUAGUUGGUGAGGUAAAGGCUCACCAAGCCGACGAUCUGUAGCUGGUCUGAGAGGACGACCAGCCACACUGGGAGUGAGACACGGCCCAGACUCCUACGGGAGGCAGCAGUGGGGAAUGUUGGACAAUGGGCGCAAGCCUGAUCCAGCCAUGCCGCGUGCGGGAAGAAGGCCUUCGGGUUGUAAACCGCUUUUGUCAGGGAAGAAAAGGUUCUGGCUAAUACCUGGGACUCAUGACGGUACCUGAAGAAUAAGCACCGGCUAACUACGUG
RNAcentral lists this ribosomal RNA (477 nucleotides) under uncultured bacterium. RNAcentral describes it as "partial 16S ribosomal RNA". It matches the Rfam family "Bacterial small subunit ribosomal RNA", at positions 30 to 507 of the family's 1533-position model. The record is from RNAcentral.